This 500-nucleotide ribosomal RNA is filed under the name uncultured bacterium. RNAcentral describes it as "partial 16S ribosomal RNA". It matches the Rfam family "Bacterial small subunit ribosomal RNA", at positions 30 to 523 of the family's 1533-position model. The record is from RNAcentral.
AUUGAACGCUGGCGGCAUGCCUUACACAUGCAAGUCGAACGGCAGCACGGGAGCAAUCCUGGUGGCGAGUGGCGAACGGGUGAGUAAAGUAUCGGAACGUGCCCAGCCGUGGGGGAUAACGUAGCGAAAGUUACGCUAAUACCGCAUACGAUCUAUGGAUGAAAGCGGGGGAUCGCAAGAACUCGCGCGAUUGGAGCGGCCGAUAUCAGAUUAGGUAGUUGGUGGGGUAAAGGCUCACCAAGCCGACGAUCUGUAGCUGGUCUGAGAGGACGACCAGCCACACUGGGACUGGGACACGGCCCAGACUCCUACGGGAGGCAGCAGUGGGGAAUUUUGGACAAUGGGCGAAAGCCUGAUCCAGCCAUGCCGCGUGCAGGAUGAAGGCCUUCGGGUUGUAAACUGCUUUUGUACGGAACGAAAAGGUUUGGCCUAAUAAGCUGAGCUCAUGACGGUACCGUAAGAAUAAGCACCGGCUAACUACGUGCCAGCCGCCGCCGUAA